AUAUCAUGGUGUGGGCAUUUUCUUAACAUUGCUUUCAAUCUUUCCCAAGAUUCAUUAAUGACUCAGUGUCAGUCUGCAAGAAAUUAGAUAUAUCUUGUCUUAACUU
This is a non-coding RNA of Nicotiana attenuata, 106 nucleotides long. The record is from Rfam. NCBI's taxonomy places the organism in Eukaryota, Viridiplantae, Streptophyta, Magnoliopsida, Solanales, Solanaceae.